RNAcentral lists this ribosomal RNA (496 nucleotides) under uncultured bacterium. RNAcentral's name for it is "partial 16S ribosomal RNA". It matches the Rfam family "Bacterial small subunit ribosomal RNA", at positions 28 to 507 of the family's 1533-position model. The record is from RNAcentral.
GAUGAACGCUGGCGGCGUGCCUAAUACAUGCAAGUCGAGCGAACGGACGAGAAGCUUGCUUUUCUGAUGUUAGCGGCGGACGGGUGAGUAACACGUGGAUAACCUACCUAUAAGACUGGGAUAACUUCGGGAAACCGGAGCUAAUAUCGGAUAAUAUUUUGAACCGCAUGGUUCAAAAGUGAAAGACGGUCUUGCUGUCACUUAUAGAUGGAUCCGCGCUGCAUUAGCUAGUUGGUAAGGUAACGGCUUACCAAGGCAACGAUGCAUAGCCGACCUGAGAGGGUGAUUGGCCACACUGGAACUGAGACACGGUCCAGACUCCUACGGGAGGCAGCAGUAGGGAAUCUUCCGCAAUGGGCGAAAGCCUGACGGAGCAACGCCGCGUGAGUGAUGAAGGUCUUCGGAUCGUAAAACGCUGUUAUUAGGGAGAACAUAUGUGUAAGUAACUGUGCACAUCUUGACGGUACCUAAUCAGAAAGCCACGGCUAACUACGUG